AUUGAACGCUGGCGGCAGGCCUAACACAUGCAAGUCGAACGCCGCGGCGAAAGGGUGAGUAAUGCCUAGGAAUUUGCCUGUUGGUAAGGUAUACCGCACAGAAACGGGCGCUAAUGCCACAUACUCUCAGAUGACUCUAGGUGGGAUUAGCUGGUUGGUGGGGUAAUGGCCUACCAAGGCGACGACUCUCAGCUGGCCUGAGAGGAUGAUCAGUCACACUGGAACUGAGACACGGUCCAGACUCCUACGGGAGGCAGCAGUGGGGAAUAUUCGACAAUGGGCGAAAGCCUGAUCCAGCCAUGCCGCGUGUGUGAAGAAGGUCUUCGGAUUGUAAAGCUCUGUAAGUAGGGAGGCGUUACCAACAGAAAAAGCACCGGCUAACUUCGUGCCAGCAGCCGCGGUAAUAC
RNAcentral lists this ribosomal RNA (407 nucleotides) under uncultured bacterium. RNAcentral's name for it is "partial 16S ribosomal RNA". It matches the Rfam family "Bacterial small subunit ribosomal RNA", at positions 30 to 526 of the family's 1533-position model. The record is from RNAcentral.